RNAcentral lists this long non-coding RNA (1335 nucleotides) under Anolis carolinensis (green anole). RNAcentral describes it as "lncRNA (ENSACAG00000038341.1)". The record is from RNAcentral. Lineage: Eukaryota; Metazoa; Chordata; Lepidosauria; Squamata; Anolidae.
AUGCAAGACUGUAAUCCGGGAAACCAGCUUGAAAGCAUCUGGAUAAGAAUCAAGGGAACCGGGACUCAAAAAGAUCUUGUCGUGGGUGCCUACUACAGACGUCCGAGUCAGGAUGAAGGACUUGAUGAAGCCUUCUGUCAACAGCUGACCAAACAGGCACAAAGAAGAGAUAUAGUAGUCAUGGGCGAUUUCAAUUAUUCCGAUAUCUGCUGGAAAACAAACUCAGCCAAGAGUACAAAGUCCAACAAAUUCCUCACUUGCCUUCCAGACAAUUUUAUGGUCCAGAAGGUAGAAGAGGCAACAAGAGGAUCAGCAACUCUUGAUCUAAUCUUAACAAAUGUGGAAGACCUGAUCAACACAGUUGAAGUGGUUGGAUCCUUAGGGGCAAGUGACCAUGUGCUCCUGGAGUUUGCAAUACAAAGGAAUGCUGAAACUAAGACAAGUCAAACACGCAUUCUCGACUUUAAGAGAGCUGACUUCCAAAAAAUGAAGGAAUUACUGAGCGGCAUUCCAUGGACGCCAAUAUUAAAAAACAAGGGAGUUAAGGAUGGAUGGGAGUUUUUCAAAAGUGAAAUGCUCAAGGAGCAAAUGCAAACAGUGCCAACAAAGAAGAAAAAUAAGACAAGUGCAAAGAAGCCAGAAUGGAUGUCCAAAGAACUUCUAACUGAGCUAAAGCUCAAAAGUGACAUGCACAAGAAAUGGAAAAGGGGAGAAAUCACCAAAGAAGAAUUCAAACGUAUAGCCAACUCCUGUAGGGAAAAGGUUCGCAAGGCUAAAGCGCAAAAUGAGCUCAGGCUUGCCAGGGACAUAAAAAACAACAAAAAAGGCUUUUUUGCUUACGUUGGUAGAAAAAGGAAGAAAAAGGAGGCGAUAGGGCCACUGCAAGGAGUAGAUGGGGUGAUGGUGACAGGGGAUAGGGAAAAGGCAGAACUGCUUAAUGCCUUCUUUGCCUCGGUCUUCUCACAAAAAGAAAGCCAUCUUCAACCUCAGCAACAUGGAAUGGACGAAGGAUUGGGGGAAAUCCAACCCCAAAUAGGGAAACAAGUUGUCCAGGAACACCUGGCCACUCUAAACGAAUUCAAGUCCCCAGGGCCAGAUCAGCUACACCCAAGAGUACUGAAGGAACUAGCGGAAGUUAUUUCAGAACCACUGGCAAUUAUCUUCGAGAGUUCUUGGAGAACGGGAGAAGUCCCAGCAGAUUGGAGGAGGGCGAAUGUGGUCCCUAUCUUCAAGAAGGGAAAAAAGAACGACCCAAACAAUUACCGUCCGGUCAGCCUCACAUCAAUACCAGACCACUUCCUUAAUGAUCUUUUCCAGAAUUUUGCCUGGUAUUGA